RNAcentral lists this transfer RNA (77 nucleotides) under Dehalococcoidia bacterium. RNAcentral describes it as "tRNA-Glu". It matches the Rfam family "tRNA". From Rfam's summary of the family: Transfer RNA (tRNA) molecules are approximately 80 nucleotides in length. Their secondary structure includes four short double-helical elements and three loops (D, anti-codon, and T loops). Lineage: Bacteria; Bacillati; Chloroflexota; Dehalococcoidia. The record is from RNAcentral.
GGCGGUGUGAUCUAGUCUGGUCAGGAUACGAGAAUUUCAAUCUCGUCGCGUCGGUUCAAAUCCGGUCACCGUCACCU